Long non-coding RNA from Etheostoma spectabile (orangethroat darter), 188 nucleotides. RefSeq lists it as uncharacterized. NCBI's taxonomy places the organism in Eukaryota, Metazoa, Chordata, Actinopteri, Perciformes, Percidae. The record is from RefSeq and is a predicted model, not a curated record. The transcript has 2 exons.
UGCUUUUUCUGGACAAUUCUCUGACUUCCUAAAAUAACUAAAAUCAUAAAAGAGUGAGCUUAUUCAAAUGGACACUGCUGCAGAGGACCGCAGGGAGGCAAAGGCAGUGUAGGUGUGAAAGAGGUCGGUGAGAUAAAUUGUUAAGAGCUUUAAAUGUCAAUUGUAAUAUUUUGAAGUUGAUCCUAUGU